Molecule: long non-coding RNA, 1082 nt
Filed under: Homo sapiens (human)
Lineage: Eukaryota; Metazoa; Chordata; Mammalia; Primates; Hominidae
Description: HSALNT0163801
Source: RNAcentral
UUAGCGAUAUAUUUCCAGCUUUUUAUUUUUUAUUUUAAGGAUGAAGAAACAGCUUUAAGUUGGUUGCCUAAAGUCACGCAGGUAAUUGAUGCAGUAUGGCCAGAACCCAUACUAGGCUUAAGGGACAGUGUACCAUAAACUCGUAGAGGUCCUUUAAACAGAUAGAAACGCUGUGCUCCAGGCAGAUGCCAUAACAAACACUGGCUCUAGAUCUACCAUGGGUUAUAUGGGUCCUUAGUUAAGAUUAGAUAUGGAGUCACAGUGUGCCAGAAUUUCAGGGAGAGAGGAAAGUGGAAGGGCUUUCCACUAAGCCUUUUGAACUACUAGGUACCCCUCGUUUUACAUCUGGUUAUCUCAUUUAAAUCUAUGACGUUUUAAAAUACUUAUUACCAUUUAAGACAUGAGAAAAAUUAAGUUUAGAAACGGCUAGAUAGCUCACGCUAGAAAGGAAGGACUCCAAAUUUUAACCAAGGGCAGAUGUGCAUGGAGGCCAAGUCAUUUCCUUCCCAUGCUCUCAUACUGACCCAACAAACCCAUUCUGCACGUGAGAAAACUGAGGCCCGGAGGAGGGAAUUCACACACGUUUGAAGCCAAGCUGGGGCCAGAAAGUAGAUCGGCUGAUCUCCAAACCUCCACGUCAAAGGUCUUCCCAGGAGGACAUAUGCCUUCAAGGAUUUUACAAUGUAUACCACCCUACAAGUGAUGGGAGAGAGGGGAAAAAAGCAACCGACUAAGGAGAAAAGCAAGGAGCAGAAAAAGGAGCAAAAGAGGAGCUGUCAGAACGGUGUGAGGAGAGUGGGAAAGGAGCCGCCUCCUUUUGCCUCUCUUCCUACUUAUUAACAAAACAGAACGACUAUCCAACGUAUUUCAGGGAGCUAAGUCUUAGCCAGCUUCAGCUGUGUUUUAACCCUUAGCUAAAUAUAGACAAGGCUAAGGCAGGCCAGGUGUACACUUCAGGAAGACGUGGAAAUUCCCAGGGCGGACCAAAACUUGAGCUGUUCCGGCGGUAGUGAUUUGAGGUCAGUUUGAAAGAGAAGUUGAGAAAGCGGCCGAGGGGCGAAUUUGGCUGCACUACACGCUCG